UUGAUGCUUCCAUCUUCCUACCAAAUCUAGGAACAUUCGCAUAGAUUUUCUUGUUUUCUAAAAAAAGAUUAUCCAGUUUCACCGCAACAAUCUGAUAUCUGCGACUUCCCUGAAUCUAGAAAAGCCAAACCUCUUUCCAAACUUGUUUCUCUUGGGAUGUAUUACGACCUUCGAGAUUUCCCCAAAACCUUGAAUGCCUCAAAAAUAUCCUUUGCUUCGUAAUGAUUUGGGAACUCCAAAAUAUAUAUAUAAGA
RNAcentral lists this long non-coding RNA (254 nucleotides) under Lathyrus oleraceus (garden pea). Its description in RNAcentral is "Pisum sativum (pea) long non-coding RNA (PSAT_LNC031629)". Lineage: Eukaryota; Viridiplantae; Streptophyta; Magnoliopsida; Fabales; Fabaceae. The record is from RNAcentral.